RNAcentral lists this long non-coding RNA (470 nucleotides) under Mustela putorius furo (domestic ferret). RNAcentral's name for it is "lncRNA (ENSMPUG00000026694.1)". Lineage: Eukaryota; Metazoa; Chordata; Mammalia; Carnivora; Mustelidae. The record is from RNAcentral.
ACCUUGGGGCCUCUCCCUUGCUCUCAGUCUCCUAGCGCAGUGGGAAUCUUGCUGGUUCUCUGGAGAUGGAAAACGAGUAACUUAGGACCCAGUGAUUUUUGUUUUGUUCCUCACAAUGCUUAAGCGACCGUCUGCCCUGGCCUUCUUGAAUCAUCUCCUGACACGGGGAGGCUACUGAGGAUUUAGAGAAAAGAGCGGAGGCUGAUCUGGGGGAUGGAUGUUUGCGCACGGCAGCUCCUUAGGGGAACCUAGAACGCCCCUCCUGCGCGGUUGGAACUCUAUAAACAGCAGCUGUCAAGGAAGAAAGAACUCAGGCGAACUGGGCAAGAGGAGUGAUCAUGUCUGUUCCCCUUCUCCUCCAUAGGCGUCCUCACCCCCUUAUAGGGAAAUGGAAACUAAGAGCUGCCUCUAAAGUAAAGGAAAAGGAGGUGGGUCCCUGUCAUUCCCCAAGCUCAAGGUUCACGGCUAUC